Triticum aestivum (bread wheat) is the source of this 4364-nucleotide long non-coding RNA. RefSeq lists it as uncharacterized. The transcript is spliced from 5 exons. NCBI's taxonomy places the organism in Eukaryota, Viridiplantae, Streptophyta, Magnoliopsida, Poales, Poaceae. The record is from RefSeq and is a predicted model, not a curated record.
CUUCCCCUUAGUGUGUCUUAUCCGCUUCCUUUCCAGAGCGGCGGCGAAGGACAAGAAGGUGAAGGGCGGCGUGGCGCUCUCCGACUUAUUCCUCCACACCACCUACGCGUCGUCGUCCGUCUGCGCGGUCGCCGGCGGCUACCGCGCCCUGCGCGAGCGCUCGAACUGCUGGUGGAGGGAGAGCAUUCGUGGAGGAGGCAUGGUGAGUAUGCCGUGCACCAGCGCCGUCGUCGUCCGCAGCACGGUCGCGGAUGAAGCUCUGGAUGGUGCGCGCCGCCAUGACCAUGUUGCUCUGGACCUGCGUCAUGCAGCUCACCGCCGUCGGUGAGACGUGGGGCCCCCAGGUUCUCAAGGGAUGGACCUCCCGCCUCACGGCCCCCGAGGAGGCUGCCGCCGUGCGCCCGGCCGUCAUCGAGAGGGCCGCGUUGCCAUCGUGCAAAACAUAGAUUUCAUCAACCUGGGAAUGGGAUGAUACAGAUUGGUGGUUGGCGUCGAUUUUGCUCGCUUCAUUGUGUAACAUCGAGUCUCCACUGCCAGUCCUCUACGAUCUAACCAAUCAGGCCUCCAUCGACGUAAGCUUCUUAAUCUCCGAUAUCCUGCUCCGUGUCUGAUUUGGAUUGAAUUCGUGACCGUGUCCUACUGUCCUUCUCCAACACAAAUCAAUGGAUUGCCUGACCCGGAUUGGACUUCCCUCCUAUAAGAAGGAAGGGUCCUCGACCGGAAUCUCCAUCAGGUUGCGUACUUGGACCGGAAAAUCCAUCAAAUCUCGGAAUACUUGGACGAGAAAAGCAUCAUGUCGCCUUUGACUUCGCCGGAGGUAGAAGAACAUCCGUCGAGCCGUCUAAUAUCGCGGCUACAGCAAAGGUUCAAGGUGAUCAGGUACGGCUCAUGGGCUGCUACAACUAUUAGUGGGACAAAAGGGUUGUGCAUGCACAUGCUUAUUGAUUGAAGGCAUAAUUAUGGGAGAUGGUGCAUGGUCCAGAUGAAUAGAUGGAACCCGUCGAGAGAAAAGAAAAAGAAGAAUAAGAAGAAAAUUGUUCUUCGUAAACAAGUACUCCCUCCAUCCCACUUAUGUUGGGACGGAAUACAUAUUACAUCAUAUGUAACUGGAGAAUGGCGGCAUGUCACGAUCAGGCAAGAACUCUGAUGCCGGUGUGCACUUGCUGAAUAUAGAUGAUUGUGAUGGCCUUAUUCCUUGGAUGUGUAGGGAGCUUCAACCUGAUUAGUGCUGAUUUGGGGAGUAAAGCUCUUCGAGCAAGUGACAAAUCAUGUCUUUCGAGCAUCUCAAAGAUGGCGACCUAGAGUCGUUUGACUGGCAGCUUAAAAGCAAUUAAAGUGAACAGAGGAAUCAAACUUUAAAGCCACUCUUGCCAUUUGUGGACUGUUCCUGCUUGUUGGUGACUGCUUUUGCGAGUAUGUUCACUCUCAUCUAGCGAUGAAAUAUUUUGUUUCUAUUGCGCAGCUGCUGAAAGGGCAAACCCCGGAUCCUAGAUAUCUAUGGGUUUUGGGUGCCCUCUGUGGUUACCUGAAUGUUCCUAUUUCUGUUUUCUUCUUCCCUUUUUAGUUUUCUUCAUGCUGUAGAUGAACUUUUGGUUUCUGUUAAUAGAAUUCAGAGAGGAGGUUCUCUUUUAGAAAAUCUAAUGAGGGGGAGACUGAAUGACCGAGUGUAGAUGACACUGACCAAGUUUAUUAGUAUGUGAUCCUACAUGUCGCUCCAUUAAUUAGAUAAUUCCUGUAUGCUUAACUGUUUCCUCGCUCAGUCCAAUAACGAUGACAGAUCCGAGGGUAUCCUUUGUAGCCGAAGGAAAAGAGGUAUGCAAGGGUGUAUUCCAUAUAUUGGUCUAUCUUUGUGUCAUUAUAACAUAUAUAUUCCCUCAGUGCUUAAAAUGUUCUCAUGGCCAGUAUGUUUACGACGAAGAUGGAUACUCUCACUGUAUUACAUAAUUGAUAUUCAGCAAGUGCUAUCCGGUGCUUAUCACACACGUACAUGAGUAGUCAAGUGUACCUUUACGUAGUAGCAAGUAUUUUUGGUAAUCACUAGGAAACAUACCCGUGCGUUGCUACGGGGUGCAUUUUUCUUGACUUUAAAGCACAUUCUUCAAGAGUUCAGUUACUAAUUCAAAUGAUUUUGAAGUAAAAGAACACAUGAUGUCUUUCAUCUGACUUCAAUAUGACGUUUUCUCACAAGUAAAUGAAGCAUCAUACUGAUAAUAAAAAAAUCAUACACACGACAAUUAUGUUGAGUUACUGAUAUCAUAUAGUAAAAAUGGCGUAUACUUCGCUUAACGUCCAAGCAUGUUGUGUAUGUGCAUGCUAAUCGUGAAGUCCUCAUUCAUGUACUAUUCUGUUCUGUGGUUCAUAUGCAGAUUCUCCAUCACACUUGAAUUUUUGUUUAGUGUGUUGCGUCUCAAUUCACGGUUAGCUGUAAUUUGUUCUAUUCUAGCUUUCUUUUUUUUAUUCUGGUUGCAUAUUUGUCUAUUUCUGCCUUUCCCGUGUGCAUCCUUUUAUCUUCUGUGUUGGCUUCAUGUUUGAAUAUUUCUUCGUCCCUUGUGUGUAUUUUUUGCAACUAGGGCCAAUAUUUAAUUCUUUUUUGAAAUGAUAGGCUUUACGACGGUUUUUCAGUUUUUCCUAUUUAUCUUCACUGGUCAUCUGUGCAUACUGCUCUCUAUCUCUUUUCCUUUUUUGUUUCUUAGCAUCCAUGACUCGAGAUUGCCAUCAAAAUUGCUUGCCUGCAUGUAUACUGUAUGAAUCUGGUGUUAAUUAAAAGCUAAUAUAAAUUUUGCAUCAUAAAUAGAGCAUAUGUAGCGACUUAUAAAUAAAUUUAAUUACGCUAGACAUAAGUAUAAUAAUAUAUGUGUUGUUUGCGUGCUAGAGUAUCAUGUUUUUUGAAGUAAUUUACAAAGUGGAAAAAUGAUAUUAAAGUAAGAGCAUUGCUAUAUACACCAUGUUUUUUGUCCGACAAAUUUCAGUACGAUGUUGUAGAUCAGUCUGUUAAUGCCUAGUGACAAAGCAUAUACCACACCAGCAGAUUAAGUAUUGUAUUGACAUUAGACAGUAAAAAUAUCAUAUAUAUACAACACUUCCAAAAUAAUUUUAUCUGGAUGCAAUUGUUCUUUUUUCUCCAUAGCAUCAAUUUUGUGUCAAAAGGAUGUUUAAGGUGGUUGCCAUGUUCCUCCAUACCACACCUUCAACGUAACCAUCUUCAGGGACAUCAAACAUUGCAUCUUCUUUCUGAUUCGGAACAACAGCUUUAGCUUUAUUGAGAACAACUAAACACUCUGUGGCCAUAACAUGUAAAUGCCUAUGUUUUGACAUUGAUGAUUUAUUAUGCACUCGUAUAAAUCGAGAUCAGCCGUGGCCAUAACACGUAAAUGCCUAUGUUUUGACAUCGAGAUCAGCAGCUCCCGAAGAUAAUUUAUGUGUUUAUUUCAUUGGACGUCUAGACAUAUAUGUUUGUGCCGUAUGUGUCGUGACCUGUGUAGUUAGUAUGAGUACAUAAAAAAGUAUGAGUACAUAAAAAACACAAACAUAUGCAAAUCCAACUUAAAAAAGAAUGUCGUACCAAACCCGGCAAUUAUGUAAAAAUGCAUGCACGAUGAUUUGAUUUAGUUGAAAGUUUACACGAGGUUACCUAGUUAUAUAGGAGUAUUACCAAAUCUAGCUAAAUCUAAUCCUAUCCUACGGGAAUUGCUUGUUUUCAAGCGGCCGUACACUUUUUUUGCGCGAAAAGCGGCCAUAGGCUUGUCCCACCAGUCGUCUCGCGCGGGUGAUGCGUGUCGUCUGGCGCACGCACCACUGUCCCUCGUCGACCUUAUCUUCAUAGCCGUCCCUUCUUGUCCCCGUCAUCCCCAAUUUCCUUCCUCCCUUCUCUCCCCUUAUCUCUGGAACCCCACUGAUGCGCAAGCAAGAGCCACCGCCAAGGCUUGUGCAAGCUCGCGCCAUAUCCAGCAACAACCAUGCUCUCUCUGCAAGCACAAAUCCAGCCAUGGUGUGUUUGACGGAAAUUAGCUGACGGCGGCGAGAAGUUGCAGCAGCGGCGAGCGUUCUCGCGCGACUCUCUCGUAUGGGGGGUAGCAACAAUGGGGCGGCUGCAAAAGCAAGGCUGGUCGCCGGCGGGAGCGCCAGCCACGCGGGGUUGCUCGCCAGAAGCAUCCGAUGCAAGGCCGCUCACCGGAAGCAUCUGAUGCUAUUGACGGCGACCGGCGGGCGGGGUGACGGCGGAUGCUGGUGUUGCGAGGAUGACGAAUACCCUAGCCAGGUCGUUUGCAUCCGCUUUUCAUCUCAAAGAUGUAUCUCAUGUUGAUCCAUGUACGCUCGAGGCUUCUUACGAAUUUUAAUUCAAUGACCUAUAUAAAUUGGUAUGA